RNAcentral lists this unclassified non-coding RNA (186 nucleotides) under uncultured Cortinariaceae. RNAcentral's name for it is "sequence contains ITS2". Lineage: Eukaryota; Fungi; Basidiomycota; Agaricomycetes; Agaricales; Cortinariaceae. The record is from RNAcentral.
AUAUUGUCAACCUCUUUGGUUGGAUUUGGGGGUUGUUGGACUCUUUCUUGAGGUCAGCUCCUCUAAAAUGCAUUAGCAAAACAGUUUGUCAAUCGUUCAUUGGUGUGAUAAUUAUCUACGCUAUUGACGUGAGAAGGCAGGUUUAGCUCAUAACAGUCCAUUGACUUGGACAAGAACAAAUUAUUA